Molecule: long non-coding RNA, 1459 nt
Organism: Musa acuminata AAA Group (dessert banana)
Lineage: Eukaryota; Viridiplantae; Streptophyta; Magnoliopsida; Zingiberales; Musaceae
Exons: 4
Source: RefSeq, a predicted model, not a curated record
CCAAGGCAAGAACCACUUUCCACACCAUCCUCACAUGGCAGCUACGACCCUUUUCCUGUCAGCAAAGCACAUCAAAGCCCUAAACCAGUCAUCCAAAUGAUGGCAUACUUGCGUAGUCUUUGGAUUAAGAAGUCCCUGCAGCCUCUAAAGCUGACACAAACCACAGGAAUCUCGCUAACCAUCACGUCCAAACCACCACAACUAAACCUUCACCUUCAGCAAUGGAGCAGCAAAAGCGAGUUUAAAGAGCAAAGCAGAGAGGGAAAAAGGAAGAUGGAGCCGCACACAAGCCACGCAAGCCUGCGUACCCUUGUCUUCUUCUUCGUAGGAUUGUGCCGGCAGGAAAGAACGUAGAAGCCCAGUACGUGGAGAUGAAGGUGCCUCUCUACUCGUAUGGGUGCGAGAAGAAGGUCAAGAAGGCACUGUCUCAUCGGAGAGGGAUCCACUCGGUGCAUGUCGAUUAUAAGAUGCAGAAGGUGACGGUGUGGGGGAUAUGCAACAAAGACGACGUGCUCGCCACAAUCCGGAAGAAGAGAAGGGAGGCUCGAUUCUGGGAACAGGCAGAGCCGGAGGCAGCCGAGGGCAAGGUCGAGGAUGAGAUGGCGGUGGCAAAGGCUUCACGUCUCGCUGCUGCAAAAGGCCACAGAUUGAGACUGUCAUGGAAGAAGCUGUUCCCUCUGUAGACUCAUACCGGACAAACAAUGUACAGAAUAAUGAACAUAUGAAUAAGCUUCAUAGAUCUGAAGCAUAUGCAUUGGCUACUUCUCUAGGGAGAAGCACUUGGGAGGACUCCAUCGUUCGGGUUCGGAUUCGGAUUCGGGUUCUUGAAAAAAAGGGUCAACUUUGUGGACCGAUAUGAAAAUAAAGAAAGAUUUGGACUAUUAUGCAAAUUGGCGCGUCGCAAAUGAGAAAGACCGAAGAUGUGAUUAGGGACGUUUUGAUAGGCAUACGAAAGAUUUAGUUUUGGUGAGUUAGCGGAGGAAGCGAACGAUGUUUCGCUCGACGGACGAUCGGCCGGCUUCCUCCACCGCCGCCUCCCGGGGAUCUGACGUUUCGCCGACCGCCUUCUUGGAUGAGGUUGUUGGAAAACCCUUGUCGCGGCUGCAGAUAUUAUACAUUUCGUGUGGAUGUCAAGUUAGAUGGCUGGUCUACAACUUGUGCAAGAACCAGCAUUGUUGGGUAUUCAGCAUCAUGCGGAACUGCUAGCUCUCGACAAUUAUUUUCUGAAUGGUUUCGCAUUUUUGACUGCUGCCUGUAGAGUGUUGACUAGUUUCAUUCACUCUUUGCAUCGAUCCAUCAGUCUCAGCUACUAAAAGACACAAAUUCUUAAUCUUGUACUAAAAAAGCUGGAUCUGUGUAGUUCCAUCAGUGUGAAGAAAUGCCCAUGUAUCUUAUUUUCGCGGUAUGAUAUUGGAACUAUGAUUUAGCAAUAAUAUGAUUAUAAAGUCAGAUUAGAAUC